AAACUAAAAUGAUGGCUAUGUGGACAUGAGCAGCUUCAACACCUUUAAGAACAAUCAGCAGAGCACAGACCAGGACGCAGAAAGAUUAUUUAUGAAAACUGCAAUAGUCAUCAUUUAAAGUUAUGGAACUGUGUCCGGAAUUGGUGGGUUCUUGGUCUCACUGACUUCAAGAAUGAAGCCGCGGACCCUUGCGGUAAGUCAGGGAUUUCUUCUUGGUUUGGAUCCACUGCUGGUGAGCAGAACAGAGCAGGACCCAGGAUGCAAGACCCUAGGCAUCCCCAAGGCCUUCCACUGUCCCCAGGCCUUCCAAAGAGACAGCGGCAGGACCGCACAAUCUACAACUGGAAACAGCAGGAAGUGCUAGAAAAUCACUUUAAGGAGGAACAGUACCCAGACUAUGACACACGACAAGAGCUGGCGGAGAUGCUCAAUCUCAGGGAGUACCAAGUGCAGGUGUGGUUCAAGAAUCGCCGGGCCAAACGCUCUCGGGAGCGGUGGUUCCAGAAGCAGCUCCAGCAGCUCCAGAAGCAUCCUCAGCAGCAGCAUCCU
Molecule: long non-coding RNA, 549 nt
Organism: Homo sapiens (human)
Lineage: Eukaryota; Metazoa; Chordata; Mammalia; Primates; Hominidae
Gene: TPRXL
Product: tetrapeptide repeat homeobox like (pseudogene)
Source: Ensembl